RNAcentral lists this ribosomal RNA (301 nucleotides) under uncultured bacterium. RNAcentral's name for it is "partial 16S ribosomal RNA". It matches the Rfam family "Bacterial small subunit ribosomal RNA", at positions 509 to 809 of the family's 1533-position model. The record is from RNAcentral.
CAGCCGCCGCGGUAAUACGAAAGGGGCUAGCGUUGCUCGGAAUGACUGGGCGUAAAGGGCGCGUAGGCGGCCGCCAAAGUCAGGCGUGAAAUUCCCGGGCUCAACCUGGGGGCUGCGUUUGAUACUUGGUUGCUUGAGUGGGGAAGAGGGUCGUGGAAUUCCCAGUGUAGAGGUGAAAUUCGUAGAUAUUGGGAAGAACACCGGUGGCGAAGGCGGCGACCUGGUCCUUUACUGACGCUGAGGCGCGAAAGCGUGGGGAGCAAACAGGAUUAGAUACCCCAGUAGUCCCUGUCCUUAUACA